This is a long non-coding RNA of Lontra canadensis (Northern American river otter), 298 nucleotides long. RefSeq lists it as uncharacterized. NCBI's taxonomy places the organism in Eukaryota, Metazoa, Chordata, Mammalia, Carnivora, Mustelidae. The record is from RefSeq and is a predicted model, not a curated record. The transcript is spliced from 3 exons.
GGUUCUGCUAGAUUUAAUUUUUAAUAUUGGGCUACUACAUUUUAAACUUGAAAUUCUAUCUACACUAGUUCUGAGCCUAGUAAGACAUUCUGGAUGCUUCCCCUCAUCCCCUGAAAAAAAUUUUAAUAUGUUAUAAAAGAAGCCACAAAAAUUAAAUGGCAGCACUUUUUUUCAUCCCUAGGGCUGUAUGCAGGAAACAUGAACUUAUGCAGUAUGACUUGGAGAUGGCUGCUCAGGACUUAGCAUCCAAAAAGCAGCAAUGUGAGGAACUGGCAACUGGGACCGUGAGAACAUCUUC